GGAGUAUUACAUUUAAUCAUCAAGAAUUGGAAUAUAUCAAUGCACUCUCACCCCCAUUAAGUUUAAAGUAAAGUGUGUGUGUGUGUAUGUGUGUGUGUUAUUUUUAUAUUCAAGCAGUUUUACAUUAUUUUUAAAUCGGAAAUUUUUUUCUCUUUGCAACAGGGUUUUUUUCUUAAAAUGUAGCCUUUAUGAUAUAUUCUAAAUGUUUUGCAAUCAAAUUUUCAUCUCAUUUUAUAUUUUUUAACUGAAAAUGCAUUAAAACUCCCCUUUUUGCUCACACCUGAUCACCAUCCACAGUGGAAAACAGUACUCCCGUGCCCAAACCCCACAUUCAGCACUGAGACCCGGAAAUGUUCCUGCUGCUUCAUCACACCAAGCAACAUUUGGUGGGGGGGGUCAUCUAUUCCCAGUUUGAAUUCCGAGUUUUGGAAUCCUACUCUACAUUUUUUAGAUUAACAGAUGUUUUGUGGUAUUUUAUGUUCCAAGAAGCAUCACUGCAAAGAUUGAUCUAUAGAUGAGUAAUGAUCAGUGAAAAGCUGACACAGAGCACAAGGUAUAAUAACUUUUAUGGUUAGGAAUCUGAUAUGCUGCCAGCAGAGUUUCUUCAAUUCACACCUCCGUUUCCUUAUUGCCUUGAUGCUUGGAUAUGGCGCAGGGAAAAUGAGAGUGAGACCGCAGAUGAAAGUCUUUUAUAACAAAAAGAGGAAAUCUUAUUGAUGAGCUGUUUCAAUCACUUAUUUUGAUAGAUGAAAAAACUAAGGCCAGUGGAAGUGAAGUGACUGGCAAAGUCUCAGAGAAAGAGAAUGGCAACUAAAAAGCUCAUAUGGAAAGUAAAGCCACAGAGUGGGUUGGGUAAUCUCAGGAGUGUAGUCUGGCGGACACAUGAAGUAGAGCAUGCAUGAAAUGUUCACAGCUACAGACAUGCUCAGAUGCACUCUCUCUUCCUUCAGUGGCAAAGGUGACCCUGAAAGAGCUUCUAACCACACAGGUGCUUUACCUUCACUUGCUCUCUCCUCUUGGCACUGGGACGUGGAGAGGAAGAGUUAGUCCCUCAAAUGAUAUUGUGACAACUACACUACAUGAAGGCCUGGGGGGGUAUUCAAGAUCGUCUCUUCAUUGGGAGCUCUGUCUAGAGAAUAAGAAAAAAACCAAGUGGUAUAUUGAGAAUUAUUGCUCAUAG
Molecule: long non-coding RNA, 1180 nt
Filed under: Vulpes vulpes (red fox)
Lineage: Eukaryota; Metazoa; Chordata; Mammalia; Carnivora; Canidae
Description: lncRNA (ENSVVUG00000000441.1)
Source: RNAcentral